UACGUAGGUGGCAAGCGUUGCCCGGAAUUAUUGGGCGUAAAGCGCGCGCAGGCGGCUUCUUAAGUCCAUCUUAAAAGUGCGGGGCUUAACCCCGUGAUGGGAUGGAAACUGGGAGGCUGGAGUAUCGGAGAGGAAAGUGGAAUUCCUAGUGUAGCGGUGAAAUGCGUAGAGAUUAGGAAGAACACCGGUGGCGAAGGCGACUUUCUGGACGACAACUGACGCUGAGGCGCGAAAGCGUGGGGAGCAAACAGG
Molecule: ribosomal RNA, 252 nt
Filed under: Dialister succinatiphilus YIT 11850
Lineage: Bacteria; Bacillati; Bacillota; Negativicutes; Veillonellales; Veillonellaceae
Description: partial 16S ribosomal RNA
Rfam family: Bacterial small subunit ribosomal RNA
Source: RNAcentral